CAGCCGCCACGGUAAUACGUAGGUCCCGAGCGUUGUCCGGAUUUAUUGGGCGUAAAGCGAGCGCAGGCGGUUAGAUAAGUCUGAAGUUAAAGGCUGUGGCUUAACCAUAGUACGCUUUGGAAACUGUUUAACUUGAGUGCAAGAGGGGAGAGUGGAAUUCCAUGUGUAGCGGUGAAAUGUGUAGAUAUAUGGAGGAACACCGGUGGCGAAAGCGGCUCUCUGGCUUGUAACUGACGCUGAGGCUCGAAAGCGUGGGGAGCAAACAGGAUUAGAUACCCCCGUAGUCCCUGUCUCUUAUACA
RNAcentral lists this ribosomal RNA (301 nucleotides) under uncultured bacterium. RNAcentral's name for it is "partial 16S ribosomal RNA". It matches the Rfam family "Bacterial small subunit ribosomal RNA", at positions 509 to 808 of the family's 1533-position model. The record is from RNAcentral.